UGUCCUGACAAGAUCCAGAUGGUGGCUCAGUAUCUGCUGGCUCACAUGGCCUGGAGGUGAAGGAGACGGGGUCAGAGGAACAGAGGCUGCGGGAUUGGAUUCUGGCAACUGCUCUCUAAAAAUUACUGCUUCUGGCAGCCACGCCCCUGCACGGGUCACGUGACUUACGAAGCCCAAUGGGAAGCCCCUGAUUGCCGCGUGAGGGAUUGUGGGAAAGCCUGCUGAGAGAGGCGGGAAUGACCAGGUGACUCCAGGCGCGUGAGCAGCGAGCACAUCUUAAGCCAUCCAGCCUCACCUGAUCUGGCCCAGUCCGGAACUGCUGGGCUGACCACGGACUCUUGAGAAAUAGGAAAUCGGAGCACAGAGGAGAGGCCAUAUGAGGACAUGGUGAGGUGGCCAUCUGCAAGCCGGGAAGAGAGAUCCUACCAGACACCAACCCUGCCAGCACUGUGAUCUUGAACUUCCAGCCUCCAGAAUUGCAUCUGGCAAAAAGCAGUUAAGAGUACACCACUGUCAGUCAUCUGGAAAUCCUUUCACUUUUAACCUUUCCGUGGCAUUUCACUGCAUGUGGGCUUUUCGUAAACAGCACUUAUGUGAGUACGGGGAGGGGAAGCCACUGCCCUUUGCUUGCUCUGACAUCUCCCCGGGAGGAGCUGCUGACCGCGCAGGCCAGAUUGCAGAUUGAUAAAUCCACUCUUCCUCAUCUUCCGCAUCCCCCCUGCCGUGUGGCAGGGUGGGGGUUGUGUGCCAGCUUCCCCUUCCUCGGCUCUCAUUUUCUGAUUCACCUGCUAUGGUGUGCCGGGUAGCUAUAUACAAUACAGAACACCCAGUUAAACUUGAAUUCCCGAUAAACAGUGACACUUUUUUAGUGCAAGUAUGUUCUAAAUAUUGCAUGGGAUAUGUUUAUGCUAAGUAAUUACUUGGUGUGUGUCUGAAAUUUGCAUUUAAAUGGGAAUCCAGUAUUUUUACUUGCUAUAUGUGGCAAUCUAGGUACUGGUGACUUUGUUCUAGGGGACCACUAGAAUAGCUGGCUGUCAGAUUUGGAUUUGGGUUUUCAUGGAACCUGUGGUUAGGGCUCACGCCCAAUCAUAAUAAUGUGGAAACUUGUUUACCAUUUUCCUUUGUUUCUGGAGAGUCUGUGCCUUGGGCACUUUGUAAGGAAGAGUGGAUGGCAGGGUGGGAUUUAGUGUUCCUGGGUCCUCUAGCAUGCUACCGUGGAACACUGGGAAAAUCUCACUUUUUGGUUAAAAAUUUGGAUUUUGGUUUUGGGUCCAUCCUGAGUCUUGAAUUUAAUCUGUGCACAUUUAUUGUGGCACCUAUUAUGUUCGGUCUUACUUCUGUCAUUUUGUUAGUGCUGUUGUUUUUAAUGAGCCAUGUUUUCUUGAGUCAGUUUUAUUUGUGGGUUAGAAGUCCUGCCUCUUUUAUUAAUUGUACCCAAGGUUACAAAAAUCUUGGAUUGCCCAUCAUAUGCUUUUCCUGCCUCUCACAUAUCUCAUGUCUUUGAAACAAUUUGGGAUAAAGAACCGCAUGACUAUGAUCAUGGUUAUUCAUAAUAAUUGACUACUGCUCAAAAUGAGACCCAAAGAAGGAAGGUGGCAGGGAGGAAACACCCCUACUUCUCUCUUGCCUUCCAGCCUCCACUACCAGAAGCCAGCCAACAAGGGUGUCCACAGAGCCAACCUUCAGGACACAGAGCAGGGUAGGAAAAUGGGUGGGUAGAGACUGGGGAUGAAGAGCUGGCACACCCUUCUAACUGAACAGAUGAGGAGAUGGAGGCCUAGACAGGGGAAGGACUUGCCGAAAGUCUCUUAGCAAUUGAAGGACAAAAUGAGGGCUUUACCCCCAGACCUCUUCAUUCCCAUAUUUGAUCUCAAAACUAUACUGCUUUUGGGCGCCUGGAUGGCUCAGUUGGUUAGGUGGCCGACUUUGGCUCAGGACACAAGUUCAAGCCCCGCGUCAGGCUCUGUGCUGACAGCUCAGAGCCUGGAGCCUGCUGCAGAUUCUGUGUGUCUCUUUGCCCCUCCCCUCCUCACGCUCUGUCUCUCUCUUUCU
Molecule: long non-coding RNA, 2052 nt
Organism: Neofelis nebulosa (Clouded leopard)
Lineage: Eukaryota; Metazoa; Chordata; Mammalia; Carnivora; Felidae
Exons: 3
Source: RefSeq, a predicted model, not a curated record